Molecule: long non-coding RNA, 126 nt
Organism: Thalassophryne amazonica
Lineage: Eukaryota; Metazoa; Chordata; Actinopteri; Batrachoidiformes; Batrachoididae
Exons: 3
Source: RefSeq, a predicted model, not a curated record
GUAUUUGGGAAUGGUCUGACACAAUCUGUCUAUAAAGCAAGAUGCGUCUGUGUGUGGUUAUGUGGCUCACAUUGCUCUGACUGUUUGUCAGAUCAGCCUCAGCUUUCAGAUAUGGUUUGCACAUGA